CGAAAUAUUGGUUGGAAAUUUUUAUCAAAUUUAGAACUUUUUCAUGUCGGGGUUACUAUUCAUGAGUUACUAUUCACGAGUUACUAUUCACGAGUACUAUUCACGAAGCGUGAAGAUGUUUUUUGUGAAAUUUCUAUCUUUUGGUGUCGGAGUUACUAUUCACGUAUACGGCACUAUUCACGUAUACGGCACUAUUCACGAAUACGGC
Molecule: long non-coding RNA, 208 nt
Filed under: Panax ginseng (ginseng)
Lineage: Eukaryota; Viridiplantae; Streptophyta; Magnoliopsida; Apiales; Araliaceae
Description: long non-coding RNA (PGIN_LNC016720)
Source: RNAcentral